AGGCGCGUAGCUCAGUUGGUUAGAGCACCACCUUGACAUGGUGGGGGUCGCUGGUUCGAGUCCAGUCGCGCCUA
This is a non-coding RNA of Pseudomonas caspiana, 74 nucleotides long. The record is from Rfam. Lineage: Bacteria; Pseudomonadati; Pseudomonadota; Gammaproteobacteria; Pseudomonadales; Pseudomonadaceae.